GGUCAAGCGAAUAAGCGCACACGGUGGAUGCCUUGGCGGUCAGAGGCGAUGAAGGACGUGGCAGCCUGCGAAAAGUAUCGGGGAGCUGGCAACAAGCUUUGAUCCGGUAAUGUCCGAAUGGGGAAACCCACCCGCUUGCGGGUAUCCUGCAGUGAAUACAUAGCUGCUGGAAGCGAACCUGGUGAACUGAAAUAUCUAAGUAACCAGAGGAAAAGAAAUCAACCGAGAUUCCGUAAGUAGCGACGAGCGAACGCGGACUAGCCCUUAAGCUGGAUUGGUUCUAGGAAAACGCUCUGGAAAGAGCGGCCAUAGAAGGUGAUAGCCCUGUAUCUGAAAGGGCCAUUCCAGUGAAGACGAGUAGGGCGGGGCACGUGAAACCCUGUCUGAACAUGGGGGGACCAUCCUCCAAGGCUAAAUACUACUGACCGACCGAUAGUGAACCAGUACCGUGAGGGAAAGGCGAAAAGAACCCCGGAGAGGGGAGUGAAAUAGAACCUGAAACCGUGUGCGUACAAGCAGUAGGAGCUCCGCAAGGAGUGACUGCGUACCUUUUGUAUAAUGGGUCAGCGACUUACUGUUCGUGGCAAGCUUAACCGUAUAGGGGAGGCGAAGGGAAACCGAGUCUGAUAAGGGCGCAUAGUCGCGGGCAGUAGACCCGAAACCGGGUGAUCUAGUCAUGCCCAGGGUGAAGGUGCGGUAACACGCACUGGAGGCCCGAACCCACUCCCGUUGCAAAGGUAGGGGAUGAGGUGUGAUUAGGAGUGAAAAGCUAAUCGAACCCGGAGAUAGCUGGUUCUCCUCGAAAGCUAUUUAGGUAGCGCCUCAUAUGUAUCCUCUCGGGGGUAGAGCACUGUUAUGGCUAGGGGGUCAUCGCGACUUACCAAACCAUUGCAAACUCCGAAUACCGAGACGGACUGUAUGGGAGACACACGGCGGGUGCUAACGUCCGUCGUGAAAAGGGAAACAACCCAGACCCACAGCUAAGGUCCCAAAUUUUGUGCUAAGUGGAAAACCAUGUGGAAAGGCACAGACAGCCAGGAGGUUGGCUUAGAAGCAGCCACCCUUUAAAGAAAGCGUAAUAGCUCACUGGUCGAGUCGGUCUGCGGGGAAGAUUUAACGGGGCUAAGCACAGAACCGAAGCUUGGGGUGCAUAACUUUGUUAUGCGCGGUAGAGGAGCGUUCCGUAAGCCGUUGAAGGUGGAUUGAGAAGUCUGCUGGAGGUAUCGGAAGUGCGAAUGCUGACAUGAGUAACGAUAAUGCGGGUGAAAAACCCGCACGCCGAAAGCCCAAGGUUUCCUUGCGCAACGUUAAUCGGCGCAGGGUGAGUCGGCCCCUAAGGCGAGGACGAAAGUCGUAGUCGAUGGGAAGCAGGUUAAUAUUCCUGCACCUCGCGUAAGUGCGAUGGAGGGACGGAGAAGGUUAGGUGUACCAGGCGUUGGUUGUCCUGGGGAAAGGCGGUAGGUUUGGAUCUUUGGCAAAUCCGGGAUCCUCUAAGACCGAGCACCGAGACGAGCCUUUAUGGCGAAGUCACUGAUACCACGCUUCCAGGAAAAGCUCCUAAGCUUCAGCUUACGCAGACCGUACCGUAAACCGACACAGGUGGGUAGGAUGAGAAUUCUCAGGCGCUUGAGAGAACUCGGGUGAAGGAACUAGGCAACAUGGCACCGUAACUUCGGGAGAAGGUGCACCCUUUUUGGUGGCUCGUGCGAGCUAUAGCUGAAGAGGGUCGCAGUAACCAGGCCGCUGCGACUGUUUAUCAAAAACACAGCACUCUGCAAACACGAAAGUGGACGUAUAGGGUGUGACGCCUGCCCGGUGCUGGAAGGUUAAUUGAUGGGGUCAGCCGCAAGGCGAAGCUCUUGAUCGAAGCCCCAGUAAACGGCGGCCGUAACUAUAACGGUCCUAAGGUAGCGAAAUUCCUUGUCGGGUAAGUUCCGACCUGCACGAAUGGCGUAACGACAGCGGCGCUGUCUCCACCCGAGACUCAGUGAAAUUGAAAUCGCUGUGAAGAUGCAGCGUUCCCGUGGCAAGACGGAAAGACCCCGUGAACCUUUACUAUAGCUUUACACUGAACGUUGAGUUCGUCUGUGUAGGAUAGGUGGGAGGCUAUGAAACCAUGGCGCUAGCUGUGGCGGAGCCAUCCUUGAAAUACCACCCUGUCGUGCUUGACGUUCUAACCUGGGCCCAUUAUCUGGGUCGGGGACCGUGUAUGGUGGGUAGUUUGACUGGGGCGGUCUCCUCCUAAAGAGUAACGGAGGAGCUCGAAGGUACGCUCAGCGCGGUCGGACAUCGCGCACUGUGUGCAAAGGCAUAAGCGUGCUUGACUGCAAGAUCGACGGAUCAAGCAGGUAGGAAACUAGGACUUAGUGAUCCGGUGGUUCUGUAUGGAAGGGCCAUCGCUCAACGGAUAAAAGGUACUCCGGGGAUAACAGGCUGAUACCGCCCAAGAGUUCAUAUCGACGGCGGUGUUUGGCACCUCGAUGUCGGCUCAUCACAUCCUGGGGCUGUAGUCGGUCCCAAGGGUAUGGCUGUUCGCCAUUUAAAGUGGUACGCGAGCUGGGUUCAGAACGUCGUGAGACAGUUCGGUCCCUAUCUGCCAUGGGCGUUGGAGAUUUGAGAGGGGCUGCUCCUAGUACGAGAGGACCGGAGUGGACGAACCUCUGGUGUUCCGGUUGUCACGCCAGUGGCAUUGCCGGGUAGCUAUGUUCGGAAGCGAUAACCGCUGAAAGCAUCUAAGCGGGAAGCGCGCCUCAAGAUGAGAUCUCCCGGGGCACAAGCCCCCUGAAGGAACCAUGUAGACUACGUGGUUGAUAGGUCAGGUGUGUAAGUACAGCAAUGUAUUGAGCUAACUGAUACUAAUGAUCCGUGCGGCUUGACCAU
RNAcentral lists this ribosomal RNA (2880 nucleotides) under Stenotrophomonas maltophilia. Its description in RNAcentral is "23S ribosomal RNA". It matches the Rfam family "Bacterial large subunit ribosomal RNA". The record is from RNAcentral. Lineage: Bacteria; Pseudomonadati; Pseudomonadota; Gammaproteobacteria; Lysobacterales; Lysobacteraceae.